Long non-coding RNA from Armigeres subalbatus, 1058 nucleotides. RefSeq lists it as uncharacterized. The record is from RefSeq and is a predicted model, not a curated record. Lineage: Eukaryota; Metazoa; Arthropoda; Insecta; Diptera; Culicidae. The transcript is spliced from 3 exons.
CUUUCUUUCUAUCUUUGACCGCCAAAGAAAGUAGUAGUGCGCGUCGUGCUUAAAGUAAAAUUAAAGCUAUUGAUAGUUCCAAGUCAGUGUAGUGCUUCCAAACGGGAUUAUAUAGACAGUGGUAGCACGCCUACGAACGAAAACAUACCUACGUAUCCAUAAAAGAAAGUAUAUAACGACGAACAAAGCAGAAGAAAAGGUCCGUGCGGGCCUUUUCUUUUACGGUUCCCGGAGCGGAAGCUCGGAGACUGCUAUCGUUCACAGGACAAAGGAUCGACAGAGAGCCCAUCUCAAGCCAAGAACCGGCCGGUGGCCAGCAACACGUGCCCUCUGCGCACACAAAGAUCACCGACGCCAUUUUGCCGAGUACCCACCGGUACAAAACGACUCAUCUGUCGAAUCCCAGAGCAGCUUUAACCGCCACGCCGUGAACCCUUCCGACGCCGAAUACAGCGAAUCGAGCUGCGUUAACAGGUUAACAGUUAGCAUCCAACCUUCAAGUCAUCGGCGUCGAACGCCAGUCAACCUCAGCGUCGCUGAAAUCGGCCACCGGAACAGCGAAUUCGGUAAACCGUCGAGGACCGAGUUGACCUCCAAUCACCAUCGCACCGUCGGCGAACACCGGUAACUACGCCCGUCUCCGAAAACAGUUAUCCGAUCAACGAGUCCGGUGAACCCGUCAACGUCGAAUACCUCCAAACGUGGAGUUUUCUACGAGAGUCACCAAAGAACGGCGAUUCGACCUUCGGACUGGGAAACCUCCCACGCCGUGCGAUCCCACCUGGAACCCGUGCAUCACCGUGUUCAACGUGGCUAGCAGCGAACAAUUACCACAUCCGCCGGAAUCCCGGCCAAUCAAGCAGCCAAUUCUUCUGCCGGUAAGCUCGUCGAAGAUCCGGAAAUCGAGUUGUGAACAACGGAGGGCCCUCCCAACCAUGCCAUCACCAAACCAGCUACCACAACGACUACCAGAACCACAAAGCGCAAGUAGACCCUCAAUGUAUUGUAUCGUCUCUCUCUAAGUCCAAAUGGGCAAAUAAAUAGCUAGCAUGUAAUAA